RNAcentral lists this ribosomal RNA (460 nucleotides) under uncultured bacterium. RNAcentral's name for it is "partial 16S ribosomal RNA". It matches the Rfam family "Bacterial small subunit ribosomal RNA", at positions 338 to 795 of the family's 1533-position model. The record is from RNAcentral.
CCUACGGGAGGCUGCAGUGAGGAAUAUUGGUCAAUGGACGAGAGUCUGAACCAGCCAAGUAGCGUGAAGGAUGACUGCCCUAUGGGUUGUAAACUUCUUUUAUAAAGGAAUAAAACGAGGCACGUGUGCCUUUUUGCAUGUACUUUAUGAAUAAGGAUCGGCUAACUCCGUGCCAGCAGCCGCGGUAAUACGGAGGAUCCGAGCGUUAUCCGGAUUUAUUGGGUUUAAAGGGAGCGUAGAUGGGUUGUUAAGUCAGUUGUGAAAGUUUGCGGCUCAACCGUAAAAUUGCAAUUGAUACUGGCAGUCUAGAGUACAGUUGAGGUAGGCGGAAUUCGUGGUGUAGCGGUGAAAUGCUUAGAUAUCACGAAGAACCCCGAUUGCGAAGGCAGCUUACUAAACUGUGACUGACAUUGAUGCUCGAAAGUGUGGGUAUCAAACAGGAUUAGAUACCCUAGUAGUC